This 240-nucleotide unclassified non-coding RNA is filed under the name soil metagenome. Its description in RNAcentral is "partial contains 5.8S ribosomal RNA, internal transcribed spacer 2, and large subunit ribosomal RNA". The record is from RNAcentral.
AACGGUCUAUACCUGCGGUACCUGCGGAGGGAUCAUUACUGAGUGAGGGCCCCUCGGGGUCCAACCUCCCACCCGUGUUUAACGAACCUUUGUUGCUUCGGCGGGCCCGCCUCACGGCCGCCGGGGGGCUCCUGCCCCCGGGCCCGCGCCCGCCGAAGCCCCCCCUUGAACGCUGUCUGAAGUUUGCAGUCUGAGAAACUAGCUAAAUUAGUUAAAACUUUCAACAACGGAUCUCUAGAU